Molecule: ribosomal RNA, 781 nt
Filed under: Penicillium chrysogenum
Lineage: Eukaryota; Fungi; Ascomycota; Eurotiomycetes; Eurotiales; Aspergillaceae
Description: eukaryotic LSU rRNA
Rfam family: Eukaryotic large subunit ribosomal RNA
Source: RNAcentral
CAACAGGGAUUGCCCCAGUAACGGCGAGUGAAGCGGCAAGAGCUCAAAUUUGAAAGCUGGCUCCUUCGGGGUCCGCAUUGUAAUUUGUAGAGGAUGCUUCGGGAGCGGUCCCCAUCUAAGUGCCCUGGAACGGGACGUCAUAGAGGGUGAGAAUCCCGUAUGGGAUGGGGUGUCCGCGCCCGUGUGAAGCUCCUUCGACGAGUCGAGUUGUUUGGGAAUGCAGCUCUAAAUGGGUGGUAAAUUUCAUCUAAAGCUAAAUAUUGGCCGGAGACCGAUAGCGCACAAGUAGAGUGAUCGAAAGAUGAAAAGCACUUUGAAAAGAGAGUUAAAAAGCACGUGAAAUUGUUGAAAGGGAAGCGCUUGCGACCAGACUCGCUCGCGGGGUUCAGCCGGCAUUCGUGCCGGUGUACUUCCCCGCGGGCGGGCCAGCGUCGGUUUGGGCGGUCGGUCAAAGGCCCUCGGAAGGUAACGCCCCUAGGGGCGUCUUAUAGCCGAGGGUGCAAUGCGACCUGCCUAGACCGAGGAACGCGCUUCGGCUCGGACGCUGGCAUAAUGGUCGUAAACGACCCGUCUUGAAACACGGACCAAGGAGUCUAACAUCUACGCGAGUGUUCGGGUGUCAAACCCGUGCGCGAAGUGAAAGCGAACGGAGGUGGGAACCCUCACGGGUGCACCAUCGACCGAUCCUGAAGUCUUCGGAUGGAUUUGAGUAAGAGCGUAGCUGUUGGGACCCGAAAGAUGGUGAACUAUGCCUGAAUAGGGCGAAGCCAGAGGAAACUCU